UACGAAGGGUGCAAGCGUUACUCGGAAUUACUGGGCGUAAAGCGUGCGUAGGUGGUUCGUUAAGUCUGAUGUGAAAGCCCUGGGCUCAACCUGGGAAUGGCAUUGGAAACUGGCGACCUAGAGUGCGGUAGAGGGUAGUGGAAUUCCCGGUGUAGCAGUGAAAUGCGUAGAGAUCGGGAGGAACAUCUGUGGCGAAGGCGACUGCCUGGACCAGCACUGACACUGAGGCACGAAAGCGUGGGGAGCAAACAGGG
This 254-nucleotide ribosomal RNA is filed under the name uncultured bacterium. RNAcentral describes it as "partial 16S ribosomal RNA". It matches the Rfam family "Bacterial small subunit ribosomal RNA", at positions 524 to 777 of the family's 1533-position model. The record is from RNAcentral.